This is a long non-coding RNA of Ctenopharyngodon idella (grass carp), 1492 nucleotides long. RefSeq lists it as uncharacterized. NCBI's taxonomy places the organism in Eukaryota, Metazoa, Chordata, Actinopteri, Cypriniformes, Xenocyprididae. The transcript has 5 exons. The record is from RefSeq and is a predicted model, not a curated record.
AAUCAACAGCUGCUACACUUACUUCAACUAUACUCUCUUUGAAUGAAUUUGAAAGUACAGCUGUUAGUGCAUCCACAAUAUCAGCAGCAACCACUGAAGUGCCCACAACUACUGCAAAUACAGUUUCAAUCAAUAUUUCAGCUUCUACAGAGUCUACAGCUUCAACAGCAUCUACAGCUUCUACAGCAUCUACAGAGUCUACAGUUUCUACAGCUUCUACUGCAUCUACAGCUUCUACAGUUUCUACAGCAUCUACUGCAUCUACAGAGACUACAGCUUCUACAGCAUCUACAGUUUCUACAGCAUCUACAGCUUCUUCAGUUUCUACAGCAUCUACUGCAUCUACAGAGACUACAGCUUCUACACCAUCUACAGCAUCUACAGAGUCUACAGUUUCUACAGCUUCUACAGCAUCUACAGCUUCUACAGCAUCUACUGCAUCUACAACUUUCACAACUACUGCAAAAAUACCUGAAGUGAAAACUGAUCUGGUGUUUCGUUCUUUUGAUACAUUUAUAGAUGCACUAAGCGAUCAAAACUCGGUGGAGUUCAAGAAUAGGUCUAAGCUUGUUAUUGAUCAGCUUGAAGGAGUUUACAGACCCAAAUAUGCAAACUUCCUCAGAGUGACUGUCAUAGAAUUCAGAGCUGGGUCAAUCAUCACAACAACAGAAAUGUUCUUCAGCCUUAACCAACCUGUCCCAUCUGUUCAAGAGAUUUCAAACACCCUCUUGACAGCAGUGAAUACAGGAGGUGUCAAUCCACUGAACAUAAUUCCUCAGUCAAUUUCAGUCAAUGGUUCAGUUUCAACUACAACUAUCGCUCCAACAGUGACUACAACUUCAAGCGGAUUAAAAAUUGAAUCAAGUCUGCUUCAAGCAACAUGCCUCAUUAUUAUGUCUAAGAUAUUAAGACAUUUCAUAUAGAUCCCUUAAUAAUAUAUCAACCAAACAUGAGAGUACAACUAGACAUGCUGUAACAAAUUAAACAAAGAGCAAAUGUAUUUAUUAUGUGAAAUAUAGUAUUUUUCAUUGUAGCACACUCAAAUAAUGGAAUAAGGCUAUAUAAAGAUAAGCUUGAUAAUGCAUUUUUUCUCAAGAAUAUAUUUGCAGAUAUUCGUUUAACAGCAGGCUGUUUUCUAUGAGGGAGAAGUCGAUCUUUUUCCUCAUGUAUUUCCUAAUGUAUAUUUUCAAAUGUAAACAUUGUAAAAACUGUUUGUUUAUUUGUUUUAAGGAUGAAUACUGGUUACACUUUGUCUAGUAAGUUGUAAUUGCAAUAUGUCAUAUUUUAUUUUAAUCAAAUAAAAAUAUUUAUUAAGUAUAUAUCGUCCAGAAUAUUUUGCUCUCAUGAAGAGAAUACUUACUGUAUGUAUUCUUACUGUAUCUACAGCUUCUUACUGUAUACUGUUCAAUGUUUAAAUGCAACUAGACUUUUUAUGUCUGAAAUUUUAUGUCAGAGUUUCUGUACUGUAAGUAAGCUUUCAUAAAGCAUUACA